RNAcentral lists this long non-coding RNA (325 nucleotides) under Homo sapiens (human). RNAcentral describes it as "non-protein coding lnc-DMKN-1:11". The record is from RNAcentral. Lineage: Eukaryota; Metazoa; Chordata; Mammalia; Primates; Hominidae.
CUCUGGGAGGAUUUCAAACAGAACACUCCUUUCCUCAACUGGAAAGCAAUUAUUGAGGGUGCGGACGCGUCAUCACUGCAGAAACGUGCAGGCAGAGACGAUCAGGUGAGUCUCUGUCCUCAAGUUACCCUGCAGGGCCCUUGGUCCCCCUUGGCCUUGCUCCCGGGUCUGGGCAAUCUGAAAUUCUCUUUCACUCCUCCAUUCAAUGGCUUUCUCAGCCGGGUGCAGGAUGGCAGGAGGUGGCAGCUGUAACUUCCAAGAACUACAAUUACAACCAGCAUGCGUAUCCCACUGCCUAUGGUGGGAAGUACUCAGUCAAGACCCC